UCUCCGUAGGUGAACCUGCGGAGGGAUCAUUACCGAGUGAGGGUUCCGGCCCGACCUCCAACCCUUUGUGAAUUCGACCCAGUUGCCUCGGGGGGCGACCCGGCCUCCGCGCCGGGCGACCCCAGAGGUGCACCCAACUCUGCAUCUUUGCGUCGGAGUAUUGAAAGCAAAUCAAUCAAAACUUUCAACAACGGAUCUCUUGGUUCUGGCAUCGAUGAAGAACGCAGC
This 228-nucleotide unclassified non-coding RNA is filed under the name uncultured fungus. RNAcentral describes it as "sequence contains ITS1, 5.8S rRNA gene". The stretch from base 180 to 228 matches the Rfam family "5.8S ribosomal RNA", at positions 1 to 49 of the family's 154-position model. Lineage: Eukaryota; Fungi. The record is from RNAcentral.